This 253-nucleotide ribosomal RNA is filed under the name uncultured bacterium. RNAcentral's name for it is "partial 16S ribosomal RNA". It matches the Rfam family "Bacterial small subunit ribosomal RNA", at positions 524 to 776 of the family's 1533-position model. The record is from RNAcentral.
UACGAAGGGUGCAAGCGUUAUUCGGAAUUAUUGGGCGUAAAGGGUGUGUAGGCGGUAUGUUAAGUUUGUUGUUAAAUUUCCCAGCCUAACUGGGAACAUGCGGCGAAUACUGGCGUACUAGAGGAUGGGAGAGAGAGGUGGAAUUCUCGGAGUAGCGGUAAAAUGCGUAGAUCUCGAGAGGAACACCGAUGGCGAAGGCAGCCUCUUGGUCCAUUCCUGACGCUGAAACACGAAAGCGUGGGGAGCAAACAGG